RNAcentral lists this ribosomal RNA (1373 nucleotides) under uncultured bacterium. RNAcentral describes it as "bacterial SSU rRNA". It matches the Rfam family "Bacterial small subunit ribosomal RNA", at positions 28 to 1381 of the family's 1533-position model. The record is from RNAcentral.
GAUGAACGCUGGCGGCGUGCCUAAUACAUGCAAGUCGAGCGAACGGACGAGAAGCUUGCUUCUCUGAUGUUAGCGGCGGACGGGUGAGUAACACGUGGAUAACCUACCUAUAAGACUGGGAUAACUUCGGGAAACCGUAGCUAAUACCGGAUAAUAUUUUGAACCGCAUGGUUCAAAAGUGAAAGACGGUCUUGCUGUCACUUAUAGAUGGAUCCGCGCUGCAUUAGCUAGUUGGUAAGGUAACGGCUUACCAAGGCAACGAUGCAUAGCCGACCUGAGAGGGUGAUCGGCCACACUGGAACUGAGACACGGUCCAGACUCCUACGGGAGGCAGCAGUAGGGAAUCUUCCGCAAUGGGCGAAAGCCUGACGGAGCAACGCCGCGUGAGUGAUGAAGGUCUUCGGAUCGUAAAACUCUGUUAUUAGGGAAGAACAUAUGUGUAAGUAACUGUGCACAUCUUGACGGUACCUAAUCAGAAAGCCACGGCUAACUACGUGCCAGCAGCCGCGGUAAUACGUAGGUGGCAAGCGUUAUCCGGAAUUAUUGGGCGUAAAGCGCGCGUAGGCGGUUUUUUAAGUCUGAUGUGAAAGCCCACGGCUCAACCGUGGAGGGUCAUUGGAAACUGGAAAACUUGAGUGCAGAAGAGGAAAGUGGAAUUCCAUGUGUAGCGGUGAAAUGCGCAGAGAUAUGGAGGAACACCAGUGGCGAAGGCGACUUUCUGGUCUGUAACUGACGCUGAUGUGCGAAAGCGUGGGGAUCAAACAGGAUUAGAUACCCUGGUAGUCCACGCCGUAAACGAUGAGUGCUAAGUGUUAGGGGGUUUCCGCCCCUUAGUGCUGCAGCUAACGCAUUAAGCACUCCGCCUGGGGAGUACGACCGCAAGGUUGAAACUCAAAGGAAUUGACGGGGACCCGCACAAGCGGUGGAGCAUGUGGUUUAAUUCGAAGCAACGCGAAGAACCUUACCAAAUCUUGACAUCCUUUGACAACUCUAGAGAUAGAGCCUUCCCCUUCGGGGGACAAAGUGACAGGUGGUGCAUGGUUGUCGUCAGCUCGUGUCGUGAGAUGUUGGGUUAAGUCCCGCAACGAGCGCAACCCUUAAGCUUAGUUGCCAUCAUUAAGUUGGGCACUCUAAGUUGACUGCCGGUGACAAACCGGAGGAAGGUGGGGAUGACGUCAAAUCAUCAUGCCCCUUAUGAUUUGGGCUACACACGUGCUACAAUGGACAAUACAAAGGGCAGCGAAACCGCGAGGUCAAGCAAAUCCCAUAAAGUUGUUCUCAGUUCGGAUUGUAGUCUGCAACUCGACUACACGAAGCUGGAAUCGCUAGUAAUCGUAGAUCAGCAUGCUACGGUGAAUACGUUCCCGGGGUCC